Molecule: ribosomal RNA, 378 nt
Filed under: uncultured bacterium
Lineage: Bacteria
Description: bacterial SSU rRNA
Rfam family: Bacterial small subunit ribosomal RNA
Source: RNAcentral
GACGAACGCUGGCGGCGUGCUUAACACAUGCAAGUCGAGCGGUAAGGCCCUUUCGGGGGUACACGAGCGGCGAACGGGUGAGUAACACGUGGGUGACCUGCCCUCCAGCUCUGGGAUAAGCCUGGGAAACCGGGUCUAAUACUGGAUAUGACUCCAUGACGCAUGUUGUGGGGUGGAAAGCCUUGUGCGGCUGAGGAUGGGCCCGCGGCCUAUCAGCUUGUUGGUGGGGUGAGGCCUACCAAGGCGACGACGGGUAGCCGGCCUGAGAGGGCGACCGGCCACACUGGGACUGAGACACGGCCCAGACUCCUACGGGAGGCAGCAGUGGGGAAUAUUGGACAAUGGGGGGCAACCCUGAUCCAGCGACGCCGCGUGUGU